This 235-nucleotide ribosomal RNA is filed under the name uncultured Lactobacillus sp. Its description in RNAcentral is "partial 16S ribosomal RNA". It matches the Rfam family "Bacterial small subunit ribosomal RNA", at positions 127 to 355 of the family's 1533-position model. Lineage: Bacteria; Bacillati; Bacillota; Bacilli; Lactobacillales; Lactobacillaceae. The record is from RNAcentral.
UGCCCAAGAGAUCGGGAUAACACCUGGAAACAGAUGCUAAUACCGGAUAACAACAGAUGAUGCCUAUCAACUGUUUAAAAGAUGGUUCUGCUAUCACUCUUGGAUGGACCUGCGGUGCAUUAGCUAGUUGGUAGGGUAACGGCCUACCAAGGCGAUGAUGCAUAGCCGAGUCGAGAGACUGAUCGGCCACAUUGGGACUGAGACACGGCCCAAACUCCUACGGGAGGCAGCAGCU